GCCGGGUGCAGUGGUGCAGGCCUGUAGUUCCAGCUACUCAAGAGGCUGAAGUAAGAGGAUCACUGGAGCCCAGGGGUUCUGGGCUGUACUGUGCUAUGCUGAUCAGGUGUCCACACUUAGCUCGCCAUCAAUAUGAUGACCUCCCAGGUGGGAAAUGGAGCAGGUGAAAACUCCCAUGCUGAUCAGUAGUGGGAUCAUGUCUGUGAAUAAUCACUGCACUCCAACUGGGAAACAUAGCAAGACCCCAUCUCUA
This 253-nucleotide signal recognition particle RNA is filed under the name Homo sapiens (human). RNAcentral's name for it is "Metazoan signal recognition particle RNA". It matches the Rfam family "Metazoan signal recognition particle RNA". Rfam says of the family: The signal recognition particle (SRP) is a universally conserved ribonucleoprotein. It is involved in the co-translational targeting of proteins to membranes. Lineage: Eukaryota; Metazoa; Chordata; Mammalia; Primates; Hominidae. The record is from Rfam by way of RNAcentral.